Molecule: ribosomal RNA, 425 nt
Filed under: uncultured bacterium
Lineage: Bacteria
Description: partial 16S ribosomal RNA
Rfam family: Bacterial small subunit ribosomal RNA
Source: RNAcentral
GUGGGGAAUAUUGGACAAUGGGCGCAAGCCUGAUCCAGCCAUGCCGCGUGAGUGAUGAAGGCCUUAGGGUUGUAAAGCUCUUUUGUCCGGGAAGAUAAUGACUGUACCGGAAGAAUAAGCCACGGCUAACUUCGUGCCAGCAGCCGCGGUAAUACGAAGGGGGCUAGCGUUGCUCGGAAUCACUGGGCGUAAAGGGCGCGUAGGCGGACUCUUAAGUCGGGGGUGAAAGCCCAGGGCUCAACCCUGGAAUAGCCUUCGAUACUGAGAGUCUUGAGUUCGGAAGAGGUUGGUGGAAUUGCGAGUGUAGAGGUGAAAUUCGUAGAUAUUCGCAAGAACACCAGUGGCGAAGGCGGCCAACUGGUCCGAUACUGACGCUGAGGCGCGAAAGCGUGGGGAGCAAACAGGAUUAGAAACCCUUGUAGUCC